AUACCAGACUAGUUCUGGCACAUAUUAAGUACCAUAUUCAUGUUGUCUCCUGCUGCUUUUUGAAAAAUCAGGAUUCUAAUACAAUUUACUUAUUUGUGGUGAGGAUUAGAUGAGACAGAUAGCCAGACAUCUCUCUCUGUCUCUCCCUUUGACUCCAUCUAUGAUGGUUGAGUGUUGAGGGGAAGCUGCUCUUCACUUUGACCUAGAAAAGUUGUUUUCCUAUUUUUAAAGUAAGCUGCCAUUGUGAUUAGUUUCUGGAACACAGCUGUCACGGUUUUGGACUUGAUUUUGCUUUCUGUCUGGAGGAGAUCGCUCCCUAUUUAUUUUGCAGGCCUGUGGCCAUCACGUCUGGCUCUCCCUCUCCACCCUGUGCUCUGUGAAAUGGUUCUGGCUUUGUCCCUGGGUGUGGGAGCCCCCAGCUGUUUGCUGGGUCUUGUUCAAAUCCUGUGAAUAAAUAAAUAGAACUGAAAUAUAGAGCUGAUGGGGUCAGGAAAUAAACCGAUGAGUGUGUGUGUGUGUGUGUGUGUGUGCGCGCGUGCAUGAGUGUGUGUGUGUUGAGUGGAGGGUUUGAUGGCCUGAUUUGGGUGAGGGGGCUUGGGAAAUAGAUGAGAAACAAAAGCAAAUGUAGCUGUUUUUGUAAUUUUAUUUUGGAAUGAAAAUGUCUGAAAAGUUUUUUUUUUUUUUUGUGAGUAUGCUGCACCACGUGGCAUGUGGGAUCAUAGCUCCCUGACCAGGGAUCAAACCUGUGCCCCCUGUAUUGGAAGCAUGGAGUCUUAACAACUGGACCUCCAAGGAAGCCCCUGAAAAGCUUUUAGAUAUGAAAAUAAGGGAAUUCCAGUGGAGCAGGAAAGUUGGGCCAUAAAGAAGACAGAGUGCCAGAGAAUUGAUGCUUUUGAAUUGUGGUGCUUGAGAGCCCCUUGGACAGCAAUGAGAUCAAACCAGUCAGUCCUAAAGGAAACCAACCCUGAAUAUUCAUUGGAAGGUCUGAUGCUAAAGCCAAAGCUCCAAUACUUUGGUCAC
Molecule: long non-coding RNA, 1020 nt
Organism: Bos taurus (domestic cattle)
Lineage: Eukaryota; Metazoa; Chordata; Mammalia; Artiodactyla; Bovidae
Source: Ensembl